GGGCUUUUAGCUCACUCGGUAGAGCGCUGAGUCCGCAUCUCAGAGGUACGGGGAUCGAAGCCCUGAAGGUCCA
Molecule: non-coding RNA, 73 nt
Organism: Pavlovales sp. CCMP2436
Lineage: Eukaryota; Haptophyta; Pavlovophyceae; Pavlovales
Source: the annotation of a GenBank genome assembly